ACACCCUCAAGCUCUGCUUGGUGUUGGGCGUCUGUCCCCCCGCCAUGGUUGGGACUCGCCCUAAAGGUAUUGGCAGCGGUCCUGUUAGGCCUCCUAAUCGCGCAGCACUGUUCGCGCUUCUUGGAGCCUGUACGGAUUUCAGCGUCCAUCCAAGCCCACAUUCUUUG
RNAcentral lists this unclassified non-coding RNA (167 nucleotides) under uncultured Pleosporales. Its description in RNAcentral is "sequence contains ITS2". The record is from RNAcentral. Lineage: Eukaryota; Fungi; Ascomycota; Dothideomycetes; Pleosporales.